RNAcentral lists this ribosomal RNA (474 nucleotides) under uncultured bacterium. Its description in RNAcentral is "bacterial SSU rRNA". It matches the Rfam family "Bacterial small subunit ribosomal RNA", at positions 370 to 842 of the family's 1533-position model. The record is from RNAcentral.
AAUGGGCGGGAGCCUGAACCAGCCAAGUCGCGUGAGGGAAGACGGUCCUAUGGAUUGUAAACCUCUUUUGCCGGGGAGCAACGGGGUCCUUGCGAGGGCCUAAUGAGAGUACCCGGAGAAAAAGCAUCGGCUAACUCCGUGCCAGCAGCCGCGGUAAUACGGAGGAUGCGAGCGUUAUCCGGAUUUAUUGGGUUUAAAGGGUGCGUAGGCGGGCUGUCAAGUCAGCGGUCAAAUGUCGGGGCUCAACCCCGGCCUGCCGUUGAAACUGGUGGCCUCGAGUGGGCGAGAAGUAUGCGGAAUGCGUGGUGUAGCGGUGAAAUGCAUAGAUAUCACGCAGAACUCCGAUUGCGAAGGCAGCAUACCGGCGCCCGACUGACGCUGAGGCACGAAAGCGUGGGUAUCGAACAGGAUUAGAUACCCUGGUAGUCCACGCAGUAAACGAUGAAUGCUAGCUGUCCGGGGCUUCGGUCCUGG